Molecule: ribosomal RNA, 499 nt
Filed under: uncultured bacterium
Lineage: Bacteria
Description: bacterial SSU rRNA
Rfam family: Bacterial small subunit ribosomal RNA
Source: RNAcentral
AGGAUGAACGCUGGCGGCGUGCCUAACACAUGCAAGUCGAACGGGGUUAAGGGAAAUUUUCGGAUGGAACUUAACUUAGUGGCGGACGGGUGAGUAACGCGUGGAUAACCUGCCUCACACUGGGGGAUAGCAGCUGGAAACGGCUGGUAAUACCGCAUAAGACCCCGGUGCCGCAUGGCACUGAGGUAAAAGAUUUAUCGGUGUGAGAUGGAUCCGCGUCUGAUUAGCCAGUUGGCGGGGUAACGGCCCACCAAAGCGACGAUCAGUAGCCGGCCUGAGAGGGUGAACGGCCACAUUGGGACUGAGACACGGCCCAAACUCCUACGGGAGGCAGCAGUGGGGAAUAUUGCACAAUGGGCGCAAGCCUGAUGCAGCAAACCGCCGCGUGAGUGAAGAAGUAUUUCGGUAUGUAAAGCUCUAUCGGCAGGGAAGAAAGGCCCGAAAGGGAGAUGACGGUACCUGACUAAGAAGCCCCGGCUAACUACGUGCCAGCCGCCGC